AAUUGAACUCGCUGUGAAGAUGCAGUGUACCCGCGGCAAGACGGAAAGACCCCGUGAACCUUUACUAUAGCUUGACACUGAACAUUGAGCCUUGAUGUGUAGGAUAGGUGGGAGGCUUUGAAGCGUGGACGCCAGUCUGCGUGGAGCCGACCUUGAAAUACCACCCUUUAAUGUUUGAUGUUCUAACGUGGACCCGUAAUCCGGGUUGCGGACAGUGUCUGGUGGGUAGUUUGACUGGGGCGGUCUCCUCCUAAAGAGUAACGGAGGAGCACGAAGGUUAGCUAAUCCUGGUCGGACAUCAGGAGGUUAGUGCAAAGGCAUAAGCUAGCUUGACUGCGAGCGUGACGGCGCGAGCAGGUGCGAAAGCAGGUCUUAGUGAUCCGGUGGUUCUGAAUGGAAGGGCCAUCGCUCAACGGAUAAAAGGUACUCCGGGGAUAACAGGCUGAUACCGCCCAAGAGUUCAUAUCGACGGCGGUGUUUGGCACCUCGAUGUCGGCUCAUCACAUCCUGGGGCUGAAGUAGGUCCCAAGGGUAUGGCUGUUCGCCAUUUAAAGUGGUACGCGAGCUGGGUUUAGAACGUCGUGAGACAGUUCGGUCCCUAUCUGCCGUGGGCGCUGGAGAAUUGAGGGGGGCUGCUCCUAGUACGAGAGGACCGGAGUGGACGCAUCACUGGUGUUCGGGUUGUCAUGCCAAUGGCAUUGCCCGGUAGCUAAAUGCGGGAGAGAUAAGUGCUGAAAGCAUCUAAGCACGAAACUUGCCCUGAGAUGAGUUCUCCCUGACCCUUUAAGGGUCCUGAAGGAACGUUGAAGACGACGACGUUGAUAGGUCGGGUGUGUAAGCGUAGCGAUACGUUGAGCUAACCGAUACUAAUGAACCGUGAGGCUUAACCUUACAACGCCAAAGGUGUUUUG
Molecule: ribosomal RNA, 911 nt
Filed under: Salmonella enterica subsp. enterica serovar Pensacola
Lineage: Bacteria; Pseudomonadati; Pseudomonadota; Gammaproteobacteria; Enterobacterales; Enterobacteriaceae
Description: partial 23S ribosomal RNA
Rfam family: Bacterial large subunit ribosomal RNA
Source: RNAcentral